This 771-nucleotide ribosomal RNA is filed under the name uncultured bacterium. Its description in RNAcentral is "bacterial SSU rRNA". It matches the Rfam family "Bacterial small subunit ribosomal RNA", at positions 60 to 829 of the family's 1533-position model. The record is from RNAcentral.
AGUCGAACGGAGCACCCUUGAUUGAGGUUUCGGCCAAAUGAUAGGAAUGCUUAGUGGCGGACUGGUGAGUAACGCGUGAGGAACCUGCCUUUCAGAGGGGGACAACAGUUGGAAACGACUGCUAAUACCGCAUGACGCAUUUUGAUCGCAUGGUCGAAAUGCCAAAGAUUUAUCGCUGAAAGAUGGCCUCGCGUCUGAUUAGCUAGUUGGUGAGGUAACGGCCCACCAAGGCGACGAUCAGUAGCCGGACUGAGAGGUUGACCGGCCACAUUGGGACUGAGAUACGGCCCAGACUCCUACGGGAGGCAGCAGUGGGGAAUAUUGGGCAAUGGGCGCAAGCCUGACCCAGCAACGCCGCGUGAAGGGAGAAGGCUUUCGGGUUGUAAACUUCUUUUAAGUGGGAAGAGUAGAAGACGGUACCACUUGAAUAAGCCACGGCUAACUACGUGCCAGCAGCCGCGGUAAUACGUAGGUGGCAAGCGUUGUCCGGAUUUACUGGGUGUAAAGGGCGUGCAGCCGGGCAUGCAAGUCAGAUGUGAAAUCUCAGGGCUUAACCCUGAAACUGCAUUUGAAACUGUAUGUCUUGAGUGCCGGAGAGGUAAUCGGAAUUCCUUGUGUAGCGGUGAAAUGCGUAGAUAUAAGGAAGAACACCAGUGGCGAAGGCGGAUUACUGGACGGUAACUGACGGUGAGGCGCGAAAGCGUGGGGAGCGAGCAGGAUUAGAUACCCUGGUAGUCCACGCUGUAAACGAUGGAUACUAGGUGUGCGGGG